RNAcentral lists this long non-coding RNA (4769 nucleotides) under Oncorhynchus kisutch (coho salmon). Its description in RNAcentral is "lncRNA (ENSOKIG00005019026.1)". Lineage: Eukaryota; Metazoa; Chordata; Actinopteri; Salmoniformes; Salmonidae. The record is from RNAcentral.
GAACCUCUACCUACCUAAGUCUCCUCAUUGUCUCGUCCUUCUCUCAACAGUCUCUGGAGCAAAGGCUACACAGCGCCAACCACUCGUUGCAAGCCACGCCCAACAGCACCAUCCAUAGCCUGGCCCCUGCUACCCACGCCCCAUUGGUGGACCUGUGGGGGGCGGGACAGACAGAGUCCUAUCAAGCGGAUAUUGGAGGGUACAACAUAGGCGUGGCAGCGGUGGUGGAGGCGGCUUUGAAUGUUCCGUCUGGGGAUGAGGGGGCGGGGACAGAACAUUCCCCUCUGCUGGAGCAGCAAGAGGAGGAAGAUGAACUGAAGGACGAGGAGGUGACACUCUGCAUGGAGCCGGAGUCUGCCACUCUAACACAGAGAGAUGAAGCCAUCACCUCCGGGGGCAGUAGUCCUGGGCAACGUAGUCCGGGGCAACCACCAGCACAGCAAAUCACAGAGCGGAAGGCCUCUGAUGUCAGCUGUGGAGCCAUCCAGAUGCUGGAGGAGAAGGAAGAGAAGCAGGGGUCCACUGUUGCUGCUAUGGCAACCAACUGAUUGACAGAUCGUUCUGAGAAACGUGACAGACUGACCCUCGGCGUCAGGAAUGACUGAGCCUAAUAAUUAAAUAUUUAUCAAUAAAUAUGUUCCUUUUCAGGUAUCAAACACAUUUUUGAUGGGAUAUAAACUCUUGUGACCACUGAAGAGCAGAGGAGGAAGAUUUGGAAACAGAGUCACGUAGUGACAUCAGCUGGUCCAACGGACAACUUUUUUUUGGAAGCCUUACAUUCCCAGAGAGAAGGAGGAGGGAGGGCUGAAUAGAGGGAGGGAGAAAAGACUGAGCGAGAAAAAGGAGGUAUGAGGGGAUGAUAAGAAGAAGAGGAGCAGCUGAGAUUGAGACAUUUGUAUCAGGAAGAGGAAACGGAGGAGGAGGGAAUUGAAACAUGCAUGCUUUUUAAACAAACGACUUUAUCCAGUCAAAGGUCAAGGUCAAAUAUGAUAAUGAUCAUUAAAUCUAUAGUAAUAAAACGUUAUCAUGACAACAAUGAUUUUCUAACAAAGAAAACAAUCAUGACAACACAAAAAUCUAUGUAUAAGUGUAUGAUAAAAGAAUAUAUAUCAAAAUCACUGUUUUUACAACACUAUCUCUCCAUUGGAGAACUACUCUGUUUACAGCUUACACUCAACACAUCAUAUAGAAUAAUAUCAACCCCAUAACUUGAAGAACAGAAACACUCACACGUUAUACCCUCUCCUCUUAUGUCAUUCACAUCUAGCAUCCACAACACUUAUAGAACUAACUGCACGAAUACAGAGCAACUUUAGUAGGUUGAGUUCAUCAUAACCCCCUAAAAAUUACACCUAUUCGAUUAUCCUCAAAAAUGAUUUAAAUCCAAAUUGGCUCUCUGCAACCUAACCACUGCAGUGAAAUCUACUUGAACCCUCCUAACACAGUUAGAAAGACAACAAUGUUACUAUGUUGCUGUGUUCUCCAGAUGUCCAAGGCACAUAAAGGCUGCAGGCCUGUUGGCCACACACACAGCACUGCACAGUUAAAGGAAUGUACUAUACAGUAAGAUAGUGUGCUUCCUACUCUGUCUUUCCGUAUGUUUCUUCAGAAUAUUAUGGAGUACCUGUCCUAUAUUGAACUGUAUAGACUUUGCACUGAACCUAGGACACGGCUGGUGCUGGGCCAGAGAAGACUCAGGGCAUGGAGCUCCUUGUAGUCUGCUUGACUGUGCAUCAUGACUGACAGGUCCGUGUCAUGGAGUGAAUGGUGAAGAGACAGAGCUGUAGUAGUGAAUCCCUUUGCACUGAUGCCAUCCAACAGAUCAGAGGCUGCCUUUGGACUCUGUCACACUUCAAUGUCCUUGAUUACUGUUCAGAAAGAGCUCUUAGCAUCACCAAGAACCAAAACAGAACCACUAGACAAGAUGGAUUCUGAGCUGUUGUUCCAGGUUCCAAACUAGAGAUGGCUGGAGGAAGAGGGAGUGCUCUGGAAUGUUUUGGUACCAACAGAAAGAGGAUUUAGAUGUGCUUCUGUUUUAACCCAGAUUGUUGUUUUGAUGUCAGCUCUUGGGGACAAUACCAAGCUUUUCUUUGUGGAGAAAAGAUGAGGAGCAAAUGUUUCUCUGAAAGGUUAGAGCUGUUUGAAUUGGGUGCUGAUUCUUAGAAGGGAAAAAACACAUCUUCAAAAUUGUAACUAAUUAAUGAGGAGCCAAACACAGGUCUCCUAAACGGCUUGUGGCCACGACUGUCAUAUAGAUGUAAAUACUAAUGAGAGAGGAUAUACACCAUCUCUCACAGUCCCCACUGCAACAGUUUCUUUAUUUUCUACACGUCUCAGUCCCAGCUCUUUCCUUUGGGAAUCUUCCUGAGCUCCCAAAUUCAGCGUAUUGCGUUUAGAUUUGUUUCUAUCACCACACAAGUAAAAGGAAAAGGAUAGUGGAAUGUCAACAUUGUAAAUAGUGUGAUCAUUCAAAUAUCGGAUAUCGGAAUACUGUUGUAAAAUAAUGCAAAGGACCUACUUUGACUGGGUUUAAGGAGAACAUUGAAGUCAAUCAGGGAAUAGAACUGAAUACUAGAACCAAACACUAGAACCGAACAGAACCGGUAUCUUCCUGCUCAUGGUGACUACAGCGAUGGAGCAGAACUCUGCCUGAGUCAAGUGUGACGUUUGAGUUAGCGUGUGUAUUUCCUGAAGAGGAAAGUGUGUAUCCCAACGGAGGAAUGGUAGUGAAGUUCAGAGACAUGAUAGAAUAGUGGAUUUUUGGAGAUACUGGUCUGGAAUAUCUGUGCAUGUGUCACUAAUAAAAACAACAACAAUAGCAGUUAUUAUUAUUAGUAUUCUUAUUCAUAUCAUUAUGAAUAUUAUUAGGAAUAUUUUUAUUAUGUGACGGAGAACAACCUCCUUUCACUCUGAUGAUUGUGUGAAAAAACUUUUAAGAUAGAAAAAAGGUUUAUUGACUUGAAUUCAUGAACUUAUUGAUUGAUUAUUUAUGCAAUGUUGGAACAAUGUUUAUUUUUCUACUGAAUGAUUGACACCCCCUCCAGUAUAAGACAGAAUAUGUGUGGUUGAUGUAGAGCAGUUUCCUGUUGGUUGGGGCUCUCUCUGAUUGGACAAACAGACAGUGAUAAUAAUACCCUAGGCCAGGGGUGGACACUUCUGGAGGGCUUCAUUGUGGCCACAAUUAAUUGUAAUCAGUUGUGUUAAAGCUGGGCUGGAACAAAACCCUGCACACACUGACUGCAUCCCUCCAGGACAAGGGUUAGGGUUAUGGUUACCCACCUCUUCCCUGGAGCUGUCCAUCAUGAAACACACAAUGAUGUCAUUUAUAUAGUCAUAACCAGUCAUGAAGAUUCAUGUCACAGCUGCCAUGAUCACCCAGGCAAUGACAACGCAACCUCAACCACACAACUUCCUUUAGGCUACUAGUCAUAAGUGUCCAUCAGCUGUCAUGACACGUAUGACGUGUCUGCAAGACAGGAUGCAUAUUGGUGUUAGAACUAACCAAGGCUAGGAGUCUAUCCUGACCACGUCACCUGACCAGGAUAGACUCAGCGCCCCUACUUCUAACAGAUGGUUCUGGUGAGCUGCAACCUUGUGGUGUUCUUCAGUUUGUGUUACGCAUUAGCCUUCACCUGUCUGUCUCAGACUGGCUCUGAGAGCUACAACCUACAGGAUGUCUUUACCCAACCACUCUUAUUCAUUUAUUUAUUUAAUGAUUAUUUGGGGGGAGGAAUAACAUGACAGCCUGUACAUAAUUUAUUAUUUAUUGUAGGUAAGUCUUUUUGAAGCAGUAUUGUUCUGUGUGUUGUCCUUGGGACUUUCUGUAGUGAUAGACCUUUGACCCCAGAGAGAUUGUUCUGCUUCAUUGAAAGCACCAACAUGGACCCAGAGAAUGAUACUACUUCAACGAAGAUAUUUUAUUGAUUUUUGGAUAAUUAAGAACUUAAUAAUUGAAUAAACUAAUAACAAGAAGCCAAAUGUAUUUCCUUGAUGUUCCUGUUUAUUGAUUGUCUUUGUUGAUUGAUUGACUGAUUGAUUUCCAGUUGAUUUCUUAUUAUGUAUGAUUGUACUGCCAUCUUUCAAUACGUAACUUGUCUGCAGGCAGUCUUCUUGCCUUUCUACCUCUUGCUUUCUCACUUUGUACCUGUUCUGUAUAUUUGUGUCUGUCCAUGUAGUUGUCUGUUUUAUAGUUGGAAGAAUCACUGCCAGAAAACAUUGCUUAAAAGAUCUGACAGAUUGACCAAAGGUGGAUUUGAGGCAAACAGACAUUUAAAAAAAAUGAUGUAGUCAGUUGGAACUGUGUGGCACAGAACCCUGAGGUAAAUACACUUGUAUACAAUUGGGUUGAUUGAAUGUUUUAAUUUGAGAUGAUCAAUGUAAACUGGCAAGACCAGUAUAUUAAAGCCCAUACCUAUGCAUGCUUAUGGGAAGGAUGUGACAGGAUGGUUCUUCCACGUGGUCUCCCCUCCCUUCCUCCUCGGCCGUAAACCUAUAUCUUUCUCUCUUCCUCCCCCUCUCUCUUUCCCCUGCACGAGCGAACACCCUCUUCCAUCCCUUUCUCUUCUACUCCAUUCUCUUUCUUCUCCCCCUCCUCCCCUCCUCCCCAAAUAAAAGAAAAACAGCGGAGAAAGAGAAAAUAAACUCACAAAGAGAAUCCUGAUGUGUAUGUGUGUGGACGUCUUUGAACAGUGAGAAGGGACAUUGUUUUUUAUAUUGUGAGGAUGAGGAACGUCACCGAAAGCGUGCUUUUCUUUAUGGUCAGUGAACAC